AGAGUUGUUGCUUACUGGUAGAGUGCUUGCCUAGCAUGCAUGAUGUACUGGGUUUGAUCCCCAGCACCACAU
Molecule: transfer RNA, 72 nt
Filed under: Ictidomys tridecemlineatus (thirteen-lined ground squirrel)
Lineage: Eukaryota; Metazoa; Chordata; Mammalia; Rodentia; Sciuridae
Description: Spermophilus tridecemlineatus (thirteen-lined ground squirrel) tRNA
Rfam family: tRNA
About the family: Transfer RNA (tRNA) molecules are approximately 80 nucleotides in length. Their secondary structure includes four short double-helical elements and three loops (D, anti-codon, and T loops).
Source: Rfam by way of RNAcentral